AUCACAGACGUCCCUCCGGAGGGGAAGAAAAGAUGGCCAAGGGCAAAGGGCAAAAAGCGCGGGAUGUAAAAACAAAUGUCCACAGACAGUAAGGACUGAAGCGAAAAGAAGCAAAAAUCUCGUAAUACCAGUUUGCAUGGCCCCUUAACAACUGCUUAUUCGUCUAAAUUACAGUAAAUCUAGAAUUCAGUAGAAGAACAGACCUACUGCUGAUGAGCACAGCUAUCAGACCUCUUCAGAGAAGUUUCUUUGUGCAGUGGACAGCGGGAACUCACAACUGGUUAAAGUGCAAAGA
This is a long non-coding RNA of Nannospalax galili (Upper Galilee mountains blind mole rat), 295 nucleotides long. RefSeq lists it as uncharacterized. The transcript has 3 exons. Lineage: Eukaryota; Metazoa; Chordata; Mammalia; Rodentia; Spalacidae. The record is from RefSeq and is a predicted model, not a curated record.